GGUGGGAUUAUUUUGUGUUACGGGUUUGUGUGGUACAGGGUUUUUUGGUAGUGGUGGAGGGGGCCGCAGGGGUGGCUCCUGUGAGAAGCUGCUAGAAACUUCCCUGGCUCCAAGUCGGACCCACCUCUGGC
Molecule: long non-coding RNA, 131 nt
Organism: Aquila chrysaetos chrysaetos
Lineage: Eukaryota; Metazoa; Chordata; Aves; Accipitriformes; Accipitridae
Exons: 3
Source: RefSeq, a predicted model, not a curated record